Molecule: transfer RNA, 77 nt
Filed under: Mariprofundus ferrooxydans
Lineage: Bacteria; Pseudomonadati; Pseudomonadota; Candidatius Mariprofundia; Mariprofundales; Mariprofundaceae
Also listed under: 5 other names
Description: tRNA-Arg
Rfam family: tRNA
About the family: Transfer RNA (tRNA) molecules are approximately 80 nucleotides in length. Their secondary structure includes four short double-helical elements and three loops (D, anti-codon, and T loops). Further hydrogen bonds mediate the characteristic L-shaped molecular structure. tRNAs have two regions of fundamental functional importance: the anti-codon, which is responsible for specific mRNA codon recognition, and the 3' end, to which the tRNAs corresponding amino acid is attached (by aminoacyl-tRNA synthetases). tRNAs cope with the degeneracy of the genetic code in two manners: having more than one tRNA (with a specific anti-codon) for a particular amino acid; and 'wobble' base-pairing, i.e. permitting non-standard base-pairing at the 3rd anti-codon position.
Source: RNAcentral
GCCCUCGUAGCUCAGAUGGAUAGAGCGGCCGCCUCCUAAGCGGCAGGCCAUGCGUUCGAAUCGCGUCGAGGGCACCA